Molecule: microRNA precursor, 57 nt
Filed under: Monodelphis domestica (gray short-tailed opossum)
Lineage: Eukaryota; Metazoa; Chordata; Mammalia; Didelphimorphia; Didelphidae
Description: microRNA mdo-mir-7375e precursor
Source: miRBase by way of RNAcentral
UAGCCCUUACCCCACCAAUUAAUAGUAUUAUUCUGUUAGAGUGGGGGAAGGUACUGC